This 67-nucleotide transfer RNA is filed under the name Megamonas funiformis YIT 11815. Its description in RNAcentral is "tRNA-Asn". It matches the Rfam family "tRNA". From Rfam's summary of the family: Transfer RNA (tRNA) molecules are approximately 80 nucleotides in length. Their secondary structure includes four short double-helical elements and three loops (D, anti-codon, and T loops). Lineage: Bacteria; Bacillati; Bacillota; Negativicutes; Selenomonadales; Selenomonadaceae. The record is from RNAcentral.
UCCUCGAUAGCUCAGUUGGUAGAGCAAUCGGCUGUUAACCGAUCGGUCGUAGGUUCGAGUCCUACUC